AGGAAAAGAAACCAACAGGGAUUGCCCCAGUAACGGCGAGUGAAGCGGCAACAGCUCAAAUUUGAAAUCUGGCCCCCCGGCCCGAGUUGUAAUUUGGAGAGGAUGCUUCUGGCGCGGCGCCGUCCGAGUUCCUUGGAACAGGACGCCACAGAGGGUGAGAGCCCCGUACGGACGGACGCCUAGCCUCUACGAAGCUCCUUCGACGAGUCGAGUAGUUUGGGAAUGCUGCUCAAAAUGGGAGGUAAAUUUCUUCUAAAGCUAAAUACCGGCCAGAGACCGAUAGCGCACAAGUAGAGUGAUCGAAAGAUGAAAAGCACUUUGAAAAGAGGGUUAAAAAGUACGUGAAAUUGUUGAAAGGGAAGCGCCUGUGACCAGACUUGCGCCCCGCGGACCACCCGGCGUUCUCGCCGGUGCACUCUGCGGUGCGCAGGCCAGCAUCGGUUCUCCCAGGGGGACAAAGGCCGCGGGAACGUAGCUCCUUCGGGAGUGUUAUAGCCCGCGGCGGCAUGCCCCUGGGGGGACCGAGGACCGCGCUUCGGCAAGGAUGCUGGCGUAAUGGUCACCAGCGACCCG
RNAcentral lists this ribosomal RNA (573 nucleotides) under Sporothrix schenckii. RNAcentral describes it as "partial large subunit ribosomal RNA". It matches the Rfam family "Eukaryotic large subunit ribosomal RNA", at positions 54 to 651 of the family's 3401-position model. The record is from RNAcentral. Lineage: Eukaryota; Fungi; Ascomycota; Sordariomycetes; Ophiostomatales; Ophiostomataceae.